ACCCCAUCCUGCACCCUGAACUCCUCAUUUCUGGCCCCACCCCAGAACCUUCACCCCUAACCAGAGCCCUCAUCCCCUCCUGCACCCCAACCCCAAUUUUGUGAGCAUUCAUGCCCGCUUUACAAUUUGUAUUCCCAGAUGUGACCCUCGUGCAAAAAAGUUCGCCCACCCCUGAGCUAACAUAACCAGUUCUAAAAUAAACUGAUACACAGUAAUUUCCUCCCAAAAUAACAUUAUAUUAUUUAGAGCUUAUCUAUUUAAUAUAAAUCUGAGUAGACUUCAUAGUUUAAUAUAGUCACACACUAUUGACAACAUAACCACUAGCUAAAUGCACAGUGCUCAUUAAACAAAAACAAUUAGCUCUUCUGCUGGCCUAUUCACAUCGCAUUUACUGUUGAUAAAAAGUUUCUUUCUUUAUGAAGGAAGAUUUUGAAAACCUGUUUUUUUGUUUCGCUAGCUUUGCCCACAUUCUUCUUACAUUAGAAAAGCUUGAACAAAUUGAAAUGCCUAAUUCACAGUACAGUUUGUACUAUAAACAUGCUACAGUUGUCAACAUACACUACAGAAACACUCCAGGGUAAGAAAUAGAUGGAAUUGAAUGCACAUUAACCCAUGUUGCUAAGCUGCUUGCAGGAGGAAAGCUAUUUUUAAAAACAUCCAGCCAAGCCAUGGUAGGAUUCUAAAAGCCUAUAUUUGGAGUAAUUAUGUUUUAUCUUGGCUAAUUACAGUCGUCAUGUUAUAUAAUUAAAUAUAUUAUUCAGUGAUUUCCCUUUGUGUAAUAAAGAACUCCAGAUGGUGACCAUCAGCCAUUUCAUAGUGGUGUAGUGCAGCAGCCCAGCAAUUAAGAGCAUCUAGGGAAAUGUUUUUUUUAAAGUGCUGGCUCGUUUUAUGGUGUGGUUCAUUUAAGGAAAUAAAUAAACUACAGUAAUUCUUCACAUUUUUUAUUCCACAAAAGUUCUAUAAAAUUCUGGUUAUAUCCAAGCUCUUUUAUAAAAUAAUUUAAAAUGUUGGCAAAGCAAGUCUGUUAUCAAAACAAAUUCCUAUUCCAUAUGAUUCAUGAUAUAAAAUGCGGUUAUACUAAUAUUGUCUAUAGGGUUUAAAAUAUAUACUCUAUAAAAAGUUAAAUCUAUAUAAAAGUCAAUAUACUUUAGGACAUUUUUGUCUAAAUUACUUAAAUUCCAUUGGACAGAUUUAUAAUACAAUCAAGGAAACAAAAGUUAUUAUUACAAUGUCACCUUUCCCCAGUAAUAUGUACCUUAAAAUGGUUCCAAGCCUAGCCUAAUGUCAAAACUAAUUUAAUCACACAAAAGCAGAAUUAGCACAAUUGCAGAGAUUUGAUAUAAUCCAGGCACUCUCAGGAAAGAGAAAAGCUAAACUGUGGUUUGAAUUUUGAUUAGGGGAAAAUAUUCCUCAAAAAUGAGCUAAGAAGCCUCCAAAAUUUUCUUUUAUGAAAAAUUGUUUCAUUAUCUUUCCCUUUUGGUGCCCAGAAACCCCAUUGCACAGUGGGUGGAUUAGAAAUACGAACACAGAGCCAGAUUCUUAUACCCGUAUCAAGUUAGCUCCCAACCCUGCAAAUGUUUAUGCUUAUGAGUAACUUCAUGCAUGCAGGUAGUCACGUAGUUAAGCUGGGACUACUUGUGGAAUAAGGAUAUUCUAAAUCUAAAGACUGGAGAAUCUUCCCCAUGAUAGUGAUUCUCUUAUUUACAUCCAUGUAAAUCAGGAUUAAUUUCUCUGAAAUCAGUGGAUUUAUUCCAGUGUAAAGCCCAUGAGAGAUCAUCAUGAGAUCAUACUAUGGAGGUGCCGGUCCAGACAUAAGAUGGUAUUCUAAUAGGACAUGCAUCUCUUUUUUUCUCUACUUGUCUGUGGGUGGUUUCAGUGUGAAAUUUCAGUGUUAGUUUUUAUGUCCUUUGAAUUUUCUGUGUAGAUUUUUUUUGUUUGUUUUAGUGUAAUAAAUUUGGAAUAGGAAGUGUUUGAAAUUGGUUCUAGCUGAAAUUUGAUAGGGUUCUUCAGAUUUUAUGUUUAAAUUUACAAAAAAAAUUGGCUGAGAGGUGACUCUUAAGGUGAUCUGCAACCAUGGGUAGUUGUUGAACAGAAAUAUUUAGGAUUAAAGGUCAUAAAAUCUCCUGUAAACACAAAAAAUUGCUCUUUUUCAAUGUAUCCACCAUGUAUGAUUGUUUCAGUGGAACUGAAGCCACAGAUUAUCCUUAGUUAAGAUGGCUGGCACUUCCCUGCAGUCUGGUCAGGCAGAAGUUUAGGUAAAGAUGAUCACCAUCUCACAUUGUCCUCAAAGGAUUGAACCUAGCUUGCCCUCUCGGAGGAUGUUAGCUGUCAGGAGACGAACAGACAUACUGUGAGGACUAGGUGAACAUGAUGGGACAAAGAGGGCAGGAGAAUCUCAGUGAAAUUGAGGAAAACUGGUGCUUGCGUGUGUGUGCACGCAUACACAUAUGGACGCACCUGCACACUUGCAAGGGAAUGUGGAGAACAGGGAGGGAAACUGUAGGGAGGGAGAUUAAAGGAAAAUAGGGGGUUCAGAAGGGAGUCUGAGCAGGUUUUGUGGAGCAUGGGGCAAGGUGGUUGUUCAGCCUCCCUUUCAACCGAUGGCAUUUCUGUGUUGGAUGUGGAAGGGGUAAGAGUGAGUUAACAACUGGCACCAGUGGAUGCAGCAGGUAUUAGGGAGAGUGGUUCCUGAUUUUAAAGGAAAAACUGUUAGUUCAUGAGAGAUGGCUGUAGAUGGCAUGAUACUCUCUUGCAUGAAUCUUUUGUAAGACAUGAGAUUUGGCAGGAUUAUAACAAAUUAAUGGAUGAUUGCUCUAGUCUAGUCUGUUUUGUAUUCUAGCCUGAGUCAUCCAUUUAAGUAUUGGUGAGGUUUGUUAAGGUCAAACUUCCUUCUAGUAUUGAAUUGCAUUGUUCUCCAGCUAUUCUCUAUUCCCAUUUAAAAAGUAAUGGACAGUUCAUGAAUGGAUCCUUUUUCCAAAAAGACAUUUGAUACAGAAUUCCAAAUGCAUAUUUGGGCAUAUUUAGCAACCGGGUAGGGUUUCAUCCUCCUUUUAUGUGUUACAAUUGCAACUGGAAAAGUAUGAUGGUAAAGGUGGUAACUAUACCAGAGAAACAGAACUGAGUUUCUGUUUGCCUAGCAGAAAAAAUGAUUAAACAUAUUAUAGAGUUAGUUAUAGCCUUACUCCAUUACAAGCAAUUUAGAGUCCCUUCAGUGCACAGUCCUAGGGAGCACAACUGACCCUUGAUAUAAAUUAAUGUUUGCAAUCUUGGAAAAACAUGGCCAUUUAGAAUUACUACUCUAUUAAAAGGUGGUUUGUGAGCAGUGUGAUUUUUUCCCCCUUGGAGAAAGCUGGAAAUAGUUCAGGAAAGUAACCACAUUUUGUGAAGUGAAAUUGUAUACAAACAUUCAACAUAAGUAACAGAGUCUAAUUACAGAUUUGAAGUGGAGAGGUGGAUUAGAUAACACAGUCAUGAAAGUAAAUGUAGGGCAGAUGAAGGCAUCUAAAAGUGCCUAUUCUCACCGGAUGUUGAUGUUUAGCUUCAAAUUUUACAGUAUUUCUGAAGACCUAAAUCUCAGAAUAGAUUUCUAGCUGCACUUCCCUUCUCACGCUAUUUAGGCCAAGGAUCCCCCUAGAAGACUUCUAAAGAGGGCUUACCUGAAGAGGUCUCUGGGGUUAUGUCUACACUGCAAUUAAACACCAGUGGCUGGCCCGUGUUAGCUGACUCGGGCUUGCAGGGCUCAGACUGUAAAACUGAGGUGUAGACACUGGCUUGGGCUGGAGCUCAGGCCCCAUUGAGGGUCCCAGAGGUCAGGCUCCAGCCCAAGCCCUGAACAUCUAAACUGCAAUUUUACAGCCCCACAGCCCAAGCCUUGUGAGCCUGAGUCAGUUGACAUGGGCCAGCCGAGGGUGUUUAAUUGCAGUGUAGACAUAACCUGAUAUUGCAAGACCCACCUUCCUGUUAAUUACCACUAGCAACAACAUUUCAUUAUCCAGCCAGUAGGAGGUGUUCUUGUAACAGCAAAAAGCUGAAGGCCUUGUCAAACUUGCCAGCUGGAACAGAAAACUAUUCUGUCACUCAUGUAGCCCAAUGUCUUGUAUUUCAAAAAUAACAAGCACAAAAAAAUUGCACAGUCUAAUUGUUUUUAUCAGCAACACCAGCUUUAAUUCAGUGCAAGUAUUAUAGCCAUCUAAUUUUCAAACUUGCUCAGCUAUUUCCUGGAGCAGCUGCAAUUCAAACAUUUCUAAGUUAGUUAGAGGUUGUAUCCUAAUGUUGAGAGGAUUGACAAAUAGUUUUGGGGUGGUUUUUUCAGUGUGGGGUGCUGAAGGAAUGAAGGCAGAACUUAAUAUAUUUAACAUUGCAAUUGCCACUUAAAAAAUGAAUUAAUUAUUGACUGAAUCUUUACUUCCAGAAUUUGAAUAUUUUUAUCUUGACUCCUCUUGAUAUCUCUUAGUGUUAGACAUUGUAUGCCAGCAUAACACAUUUUAAUCUGUUUAUGGAACCACUUAGCUCUUUAGUAGAUUUUCCUUUAAAUAAUCCAGGGUGGUUUUGUUUGUUUCUCGAGAAUUUAACCCCAAGUCUUUUCUUUUUUUUAUCUUGGUAUUCACAAAAGUUCAUCAUUUAGGGUCUGGUCAUGCUCCCAUUGAAAUAAAUGACAAACUCCCACUAACUUUAAUAGGAAUUGGAUGGGGGUCCUUAAUUAGUAAGUUUUCUUCUUUUAUUAAUGAUGUAACUGAGAAAUACAAAUUGAAAAAGUUGCUUUUAGGAAUAAAGAAAUAUCACAUUA
Non-coding RNA from Chrysemys picta bellii (western painted turtle), 4786 nucleotides. The record is from RefSeq and is a predicted model, not a curated record. Lineage: Eukaryota; Metazoa; Chordata; Testudines; Emydidae.